CGAACGCUGGCGGCAUGCUUAACACAUGCAAGUCGCACGGGCAGGGGCAACUCUGUCAGUGGCGGACGGGUGAGUAACGCGUAGGUAUCUAUCUCUGGGUGGGGGAUAACCGUGGGAAACUACGGCUAAUACCGCAUGACACCUGAGGGUCAAAGGCGCGAGCCGCCUGGAGAGGAGCCUGCGUUCGAUUAGCUUGUUGGUGGGGUAAAGGCCUACCAAGGCGACGAUCGAUAGCUGGUCUGAGAGGAUGAUCAGCCACAUUGGGACUGAGACACGGCCCAAACUCCUACGGGAGGCAGCAGUGGGGAAUAUUGGACAAUGGGCGCAAGCCUGAUCCAGCAAUGCCGCGUGGGUGAAGAAGGUUUUCGGAUUGUAAAGCCCUUUUGGUGGGGACGAUGAUGACGGUACCCGCAGAAUAAGCCCCGGCUAACUUCGUGCCAGCAGCCGCGGUAAUACGAAGGGGGCUAGCGUUGCUCGGAA
This 480-nucleotide ribosomal RNA is filed under the name uncultured bacterium. RNAcentral's name for it is "bacterial SSU rRNA". It matches the Rfam family "Bacterial small subunit ribosomal RNA", at positions 30 to 550 of the family's 1533-position model. The record is from RNAcentral.